GCACGGGUGGCGUAACACGUAUGUAACCUUUCCUUAACUUGGAGAAUAGCUCCGAGAAAUCGGGAUUAAUACUCCAUAACACUGCGAAGUGGCAUCACUUUGCAAUUAAAGCUCCGGCGGUUAAGGGCGGGCAUGCGUCCCAUUAGCUAGUUGGCGAGGUAACGGCUCACCAAGGCUACGAUGGGUAGGGGUUCUAAGAGGAUUUACCCCCACACUGGCACUGAGAUACGGGCCAGACUCCUACGGGAGGCAGCAGUAAGGAAUAUUGGUCAAUGGGCGCAAGCCUGAACCAGCCAUGCCGCGUGUAGGAUGAAGGUCCUACGGAUUGUAAACUACUUUUGUACGGGAAAAAACCCCUCGUUUCUACGAGGGUUGAUGGUACUGUAAGAAUAAGGAUCGGCUAACUCCGUGCCAGCAGCCGCGGUAAUACGGAGGAUCCAAGCGUUAUCCGGAUUCACUGGAUUUAAAGGGUGCGUAGGCGGAAUGAUAAGUCAGUGGUGAAAAACCUAAGUUAAUGUAGAAACGCAUUGAUACUAUUAUUCUUGAGUGUAUUGGGAUGUGAAUUGGAAUGUGUCGUGUACGGUGAAAUGUUUAAG
This 596-nucleotide ribosomal RNA is filed under the name uncultured bacterium. RNAcentral's name for it is "bacterial SSU rRNA". It matches the Rfam family "Bacterial small subunit ribosomal RNA", at positions 100 to 694 of the family's 1533-position model. The record is from RNAcentral.